GGGUUGUGAGGUUAAGCGACUAAGCGUACACGGUGGAUGCCCUGGCAGUCAGAGGCGAUGAAGGACGUGCUAAUCUGCGAAAAGCGUCGGUAAGGUGAUAUGAACCGUUAUAACCGGCGAUGUCCGAAUGGGGAAACCCAGUGCAAUUCGUUGCACUAUCGUUAACUGAAUACAUAGGUUAACGAGGCGAACCGGGGGAACUGAAACAUCUAAGUACCCCGAGGAAAAGAAAUCAACCGAGAUUCCCCCAGUAGCGGCGAGCGAACGGGGAGCAGCCCAGAGUCUGAAUCAGCUUGUGUGUUAGUGGAACGGUCUGGAAAGUCCGACGGUACAGGGUGAUAGUCCCGUACACCAAAAUGCACAGGUUGUGAACUCGAAGAGUAGGGCGGGACACGUGGUAUCCUGUCUGAAUAUGGGGGGACCAUCCUCCAAGGCUAAAUACUCCUGACUGACCGAUAGUGAACCAGUACCGUGAGGGAAAGGCGAAAAGAACCCCGGCGAGGGGAGUGAAAAAGAACCUGAAACCGUGUACGUACAAGCAGUGGGAGCACCUUCGGGUGUGACUGCGUACCUUUUGUAUAAUGGGUCAGCGACUUAUAUUCUGUAGCAAGGUUAACCGUAUAGGGGAGCCGCAGGGAAACCGAGUCUUAACUGGGCGUUAAGUUGCAGGGUAUAGACCCGAAACCCGGUGAUCUAGCCAUGGGCAGGUUGAAGGUUGGGUAACACUAACUGGAGGACCGAACCGACUAAUGUUGAAAAAUUAGCGGAUGACUUGUGGCUGGGGGGGAAAGGCCAAUCAAACCGGGAGAUAGCUGGUUCUCCCCGAAAGCUAUUUAGGUAGCGCCUCGUGAAUUCAUCUUCGGGGGUAGAGCACUGUUUCGGCUAGGGGGUCAUCCCGACUUACCAACCCGAUGCAAACUACGAAUACCGAAGAAUGUUAUCACGGGAGACACACGGCGGGUGCUAACGUCCGUCGUGAAGAGGGAAACAACCCAGACCGCCAGCUAAGGUCCCAAAGUCAUGGUUAAGUGGGAAACGAUGUGGGAAGGCACAGACAGCCAGGAUGUUGGCUUAGAAGCAGCCAUCAUUUAAAGAAAGCGUAAUAGCUCACUGGUCGAGUCGGCCUGCGCGGAAGAUGUAACGGGGCUAAACCAUGCACCGAAGCUGCGGCAGCGACACUAUGUGUUGUUGGGUAGGGGAGCGUUCUGUAAGCCUGCGAAGGUGUGCUGUGAGGCAUGCUGGAGGUAUCAGAAGUGCGAAUGCUGACAUAAGUAACGAUAAAGCGGGUGAAAAGCCCGCUCGCCGGAAGACCAAGGGUUCCUGUCCAACGUUAAUCGGGGCAGGGUGAGUCGACCCCUAAGGCGAGGCCGAAAGGCGUAGUCGAUGGGAAACAGGUUAAUAUUCCUGUACUUGGUGUUACUGCGAAGGGGGGACGGAGAAGGCUAUGUUAGCCGGGCGACGGUUGUCCCGGUUUAAGCAUGUAGGCUGGUUAUCCAGGCAAAUCCGGAUAAUCAAGGCUGAGGUGUGAUGACGAGGCACUACGGUGCUGAAGUAACAAAUGCCCUGCUUCCAGGAAAAGCCUCUAAGCAUCAGGUAACAUUAAAUCGUACCCCAAACCGACACAGGUGGUCAGGUAGAGAAUACCAAGGCGCUUGAGAGAACUCGGGUGAAGGAACUAGGCAAAAUGGUGCCGUAACUUCGGGAGAAGGCACGCUGGUGUGUAGGUGAAGUCCCUGCGGAUGGAGCUGAGACCAGUCGAAGAUACCAGCUGGCUGCAACUGUUUAUUAAAAACACAGCACUGUGCAAACACGAAAGUGGACGUAUACGGUGUGACGCCUGCCCGGUGCCGGAAGGUUAAUUGAUGGGGUUAUCCGUAAGGAGAAGCUCUUGAUCGAAGCCCCGGUAAACGGCGGCCGUAACUAUAACGGUCCUAAGGUAGCGAAAUUCCUUGUCGGGUAAGUUCCGACCUGCACGAAUGGCGUAAUGAUGGCCAGGCUGUCUCCACCCGAGACUCAGUGAAAUUGAACUCGCUGUGAAGAUGCAGUGUACCCGCGGCAAGACGGAAAGACCCCGUGAACCUUUACUAUAGCUUGACACUGAACAUUGAGCCUUGAUGUGUAGGAUAGGUGGGAGGCUUUGAAGCGUGGACGCCAGUCUGCGUGGAGCCAACCUUGAAAUACCACCCUUUAAUGUUUGAUGUUCUAACGUUGGCCCCUUACCGGGGUUGCGGACAGUGUCUGGUGGGUAGUUUGACUGGGGCGGUCUCCUCCCAAAGCGUAACGGAGGAGCACGAAGGUUAGCUAAUCCUGGUCGGACAUCAGGAGGUUAGUGCAAUGGCAUAAGCUAGCUUGACUGCGAGCGUGACGGCGCGAGCAGGUGCGAAAGCAGGUCAUAGUGAUCCGGUGGUUCUGAAUGGAAGGGCCAUCGCUCAACGGAUAAAAGGUACUCCGGGGAUAACAGGCUGAUACCGCCCAAGAGUUCAUAUCGACGGCGGUGUUUGGCACCUCGAUGUCGGCUCAUCACAUCCUGGGGCUGAAGUAGGUCCCAAGGGUAUGGCUGUUCGCCAUUUAAAGUGGUACGCGAGCUGGGUUUAGAACGUCGUGAGACAGUUCGGUCCCUAUCUGCCGUGGGCGCUGGAGAAUUGAGGGGGGCUGCUCCUAGUACGAGAGGACCGGAGUGGACGCAUCACUGGUGUUCGGGUUGUCAUGCCAAUGGCACUGCCCGGUAGCUAAAUGCGGAAGAGAUAAGUGCUGAAAGCAUCUAAGCACGAAACUUGCCCCGAGAUGAGUUCUCCCUGAGACUUUAAGUCUCCUGAAGGAACGUUGAAGACGACGACGUUGAUAGGCCGGGUGUGUAAGCGCAGCGAUGCGUUGAGCUAACCGGUACUAAUGAACCGUGAGGCUUAACCUUACAACGCCGAAG
This 2923-nucleotide ribosomal RNA is filed under the name Klebsiella pneumoniae. RNAcentral's name for it is "bacterial LSU rRNA". It matches the Rfam family "Bacterial large subunit ribosomal RNA". Lineage: Bacteria; Pseudomonadati; Pseudomonadota; Gammaproteobacteria; Enterobacterales; Enterobacteriaceae. The record is from RNAcentral.